Non-coding RNA from Thalictrum thalictroides, 86 nucleotides. Lineage: Eukaryota; Viridiplantae; Streptophyta; Magnoliopsida; Ranunculales; Ranunculaceae. The record is from the annotation of a GenBank genome assembly.
GGAGGUGUAGCUUAAAAUUACCAAUGCCUAUGAUUUGAGCACUUGCGUCUAGCAAGGCUAUCAGGGUUCGAAUCCCUGCAUCUCCA